GCCCUGGUGGAUCAACAUAGAUCGUCCCUAAUUCUUGAUGCUGUUCCAACGUGAAAAUUGUCUAGGGAAGAUGGAGGUUCGAAUCCUCCUCAGGGUA
Mycena leptocephala is the source of this 97-nucleotide non-coding RNA. Lineage: Eukaryota; Fungi; Basidiomycota; Agaricomycetes; Agaricales; Mycenaceae. The record is from the annotation of a GenBank genome assembly.